UUCAGUGAACAUAACUAUGCAAUGCAACUGCUUCACUAACUUGUGAACAGAAAUCAAGUUGUGUUUAAAAGAAGGAACUAGUAGUACAUUGUGAAGAGUAAUGGUAGGAGUCAAUGCAAAAGAGCUUGUGCAUGUCACUUUCACUUUAUAGCCAUUAGGAAGAGUGACAAGAUAUGCAGAGUUAAAGGUGUGAUGUUAAAAAGUAAUUGUUUAUCAUGUGUCAUGUGAU
This 229-nucleotide long non-coding RNA is filed under the name Nicotiana benthamiana. RNAcentral's name for it is "long non-coding RNA (NBEN_LNC030212)". The record is from RNAcentral. Lineage: Eukaryota; Viridiplantae; Streptophyta; Magnoliopsida; Solanales; Solanaceae.